CUAACUUAACUGGUUAGACUGAGUAUUCCUUCCCAUUUUUGAAUAUCAGGAAAUCUCUUUCAAAGAGUAGUUGUCUCUUAAAACAAUUUUUCUCUGUUUCUCUCAUUUAAAGUGAGAAGAGAACAUUUCUAUUCUCCAACAUGGAUUUAUUCAUGACCAGCCUUUGUCUCUGGUUUUUGUGACAGUUUUUUCCUGAAGGAAAGCAGCACCUAUCUUCUCCUUGAUACCUGCCUUUAUGCUUCAUGUAUGGAGAGUCACCCUAUCUCUUCAGCCUCCACAGUUCCUACUGAGCACAAUAAGUUAUCUAUUUCUUUUGUCUUUUUCUAUCUACUGCCAGACUGUGUCCUAUUCAGGCCAGGUGACUGUCUCUUCUAUCACAGAGUGUCUAAAUCCCUUGGAAUGAGAAUUGCUCUUAAAAGAUAAGCAAAUGCUUAAAUCAGUGGGAAACCACCUCUGUGGUUGCAGAAGUUAAGUUUUAUGCAGACUUUUAUUUCCCUUUAUAGUUGUCUGGGAUCAUGGACAAGGUCAUUUUCUGCAGUUCAUCUGGCAUGGAAAUAAUCUUCAGUUCAGACUCAGAGUGGAAUUUUCUUUUGCUCACCUCGGUGAAGAAAUACUCUCACAGAUUUCCAAGAGACCACUUUUCAGAAAGAGUAAUCCACCUGCAUGAGGAUGAAAUCAUGGCCAGUUACUGGACAGCUGACUAAUCCAAAAAGAGCUUCACCUCUUCCUCUCCAGUCCAGACAGAGAGGACACAAAAGAAGACAGGAUCAGGCAUAUACAGAAGAAGAAAAACAGUUCUCAUAGCUUGGACCCCUUGCAGUGUCUGAUGGUGCUCUCCCAGUCCUCCCAUUCUCUCCUCAUAUUAGAGAUGCUCCAGUCCCUUCAUCAUAUUGAUGGCCUUCUGCUGGACUUUUUCCAGUAGCUCGGUAUCUCUAGUCCAGUGUUUGGCCAUGCUCUGGGACCACAGUAAAGAAAGGUCCAAUGUACUAUGGCUGUAAGAAAGCCCUUUCCCUCACACCAAUUGCCCAUGUCACGAGCAGGACUAACUAAAAUCCUUGUUUACCCUGGCAAAACCUCAGGCAGACUGGAAGCAUGCCUGCUUCCUCCUUCUGGUGAGCAGUGCAGAAUGGCUGUGUCAUGGCUGCUGGAGAUGCUGGCAAGAAUAGAGUCUCUACAAAGAGCCAUUGUAUCCAAUCCAACACAGACGCUAUGUUUUGCUUCUUUAUAGCUCACAUUAGUCAACAAAAUCCAUCAACCGAUUAAUUUAUGCCUUGCAAUGGGUGAGGUAAUAGUGAAAGAAGCAUGUCUUGUUUAAUCCUCUGCUGUGCCAAUUGGUUUAAUGGAAUGCCAAUGGGUUUAACGGAAUAAUCUCCUGUAUAUAAAAAUACCAGUUGCAAGGUGCCCCACCAGCAGCAGGCUGGGGAGUGCUCGACUAACUCCUUUCUGUUGUUUGUGCAGAGCCUCCACAGUCAGUGCCAUCACCAACAUGAGCUGCUUGUCUUUGGCAAGGCAGCUCCUGGAAUGUUCUGUACAAAGAAGCACCAAUAAAAAGCUGAAUGCAGGAAUCUGUGUGCCUCUUAGCCUUUGCUUGUGAGUGUAGCAAAAGACCUAAUAGUUGGUACUCAUUUCCUUGCAUUUUGAAAUUCAUUGCAUCGAAAAGGUUUUACUUCUGAGGCUAAAUUCUCAUCUUGCUAGUCUGGAGGAGGAAGGCCACUGUGAAAACUAAAGAGUUGCACUUGAUUUGCACCCUUAUUAAAGAGAAUGGAAUUUGUCUCCUGAGCUUUACAUAACAUGGAGAUUUUUUCUUUUUUCUCUUUUUUUUUCUUUUCUCUUUUUUCCUUAUUCCCUUCCCUUCC
This is a long non-coding RNA of Gallus gallus (chicken), 1856 nucleotides long. RefSeq lists it as uncharacterized. The record is from RefSeq and is a predicted model, not a curated record. The transcript has 3 exons. NCBI's taxonomy places the organism in Eukaryota, Metazoa, Chordata, Aves, Galliformes, Phasianidae.